This 964-nucleotide ribosomal RNA is filed under the name Staphylococcus haemolyticus. Its description in RNAcentral is "bacterial SSU rRNA". It matches the Rfam family "Bacterial small subunit ribosomal RNA", at positions 56 to 1001 of the family's 1533-position model. The record is from RNAcentral. Lineage: Bacteria; Bacillati; Bacillota; Bacilli; Caryophanales; Staphylococcaceae.
UGCAAGUCGAGCGAACAGACAAGGAGCUUGCUCCUUUGACGUUAGCGGCGGACGGGUGAGUAACACGUGGGUAACCUACCUAUAAGACUGGGAUAACUUCGGGAAACCGGAGCUAAUACCGGAUAAUAUUUCGAACCGCAUGGUUCGAUAGUGAAAGAUGGUUUUGCUAUCACUUAUAGAUGGACCCGCGCCGUAUUAGCUAGUUGGUAAGGUAACGGCUUACCAAGGCGACGAUACGUAGCCGACCUGAGAGGGUGAUCGGCCACACUGGAACUGAGACACGGUCCAGACUCCUACGGGAGGCAGCAGUAGGGAAUCUUCCGCAAUGGGCGAAAGCCUGACGGAGCAACGCCGCGUGAGUGAUGAAGGUCUUCGGAUCGUAAAACUCUGUUAUUAGGGAAGAACAUACGUGUAAGUAACUAUGCACGUCUUGACGGUACCUAAUCAGAAAGCCACGGCUAACUACGUGCCAGCAGCCGCGGUAAUACGUAGGUGGCAAGCGUUAUCCGGAAUUAUUGGGCGUAAAGCGCGCGUAGGCGGUUUUUUAAGUCUGAUGUGAAAGCCCACGGCUCAACCGUGGAGGGUCAUUGGAAACUGGAAAACUUGAGUGCAGAAGAGGAAAGUGGAAUUCCAUGUGUAGCGGUGAAAUGCGCAGAGAUAUGGAGGAACACCAGUGGCGAAGGCGACUUUCUGGUCUGUAACUGACGCUGAUGUGCGAAAGCGUGGGGAUCAAACAGGAUUAGAUACCCUGGUAGUCCACGCCGUAAACGAUGAGUGCUAAGUGUUUAGGGGGUUUCCGCCCCCUUAGUGCUGCAGCUAACGCAUUAAGCACUCCGCCUGGGGAGUACGACCGCAAGGUUGAAACUCAAAGGAAUUGACGGGGACCGCACAAGCGGUGGAGCAUGUGGUUUAAUUCGAAGCAACGCGAAGAACCUUACCAAUCUUGACAUCCUUUGACAACUCU